RNAcentral lists this ribosomal RNA (350 nucleotides) under uncultured bacterium. RNAcentral describes it as "bacterial SSU rRNA". It matches the Rfam family "Bacterial small subunit ribosomal RNA", at positions 8 to 353 of the family's 1533-position model. The record is from RNAcentral.
AGAGUUUGAUCAUGGCUCAGGAUGAACGCUAGCGGCAGGCCUAACACAUGCAAGUCGAGGGGCAGCACGGUGUAGCAAUACACUGGUGGCGACCGGCGCACGGGUGCGUAACGCGUGGGUAACCUGCCUCAUACAGGGGGAUAACAGUUAGAAAUGACUGCUAAUACCGCAUAAGACCACAGCACCGCAUGGUGCAGGGGUAAAAACUCCGGUGGUAUGAGAUGGACCCGCGUCUGAUUAGGUAGUUGGUGGGGUAACGGCCUACCAAGCCGACGAUCAGUAGCCGACCUGAGAGGGUGACCGGCCACAUUGGGACUGAGACACGGCCCAAACUCCUACGGGAGGCAGCA